Molecule: long non-coding RNA, 334 nt
Filed under: Anas platyrhynchos platyrhynchos (common mallard)
Lineage: Eukaryota; Metazoa; Chordata; Aves; Anseriformes; Anatidae
Description: lncRNA (ENSAPLG00000020987.1)
Source: RNAcentral
UUGUAACAUCCUCUGUGCUUCAUAACUUCUUUGAUGUCCCCAUGAAAUUGUUCUAAGAGCAGUCUUCUCUGAUGUCACCAUGAAAUUGUUCUAACAGGAGUGGGCUGAGCAAGUCCAGCCAGUUGGACAAGCAUGUACCUGAAGAUCCCAAGAGGAAGAAAUAGAGGCAUAAGAAAGGCACUGGAGUCCCCGAGGUUUUCUUUACAUGGAGAAGUAGAGAAGAAGGGAUUUCACUAUCCUCACUGUAUUAGCAGCCAGAGUUUGAUCACAAAACACACCCUUGUCAGAUGGGACAUCUAAAUUCAGAAGCUCUACUUAUCUGAGCACAGAUUGG